UACGGGGGGGGCAAGCGUUGUUCGGAAUUACUGGGCGUAAAGGGCUCGUAGGCGGCCAACUAAGUCGGACGUGAAAUCCCCAGGCUCAACCUGGGAACUGCGUCUGAUACUGGAUGGCUUGAAUCCGGGAGAGGGAUGCAGAAUUCCAGGUGUAGCGGUGAAAUGCGCAGAUAUCGGGAGGAACACCUAUGGCGAAGGCAGCUCGCUGGGACGUUACUGACGCUGAGACGCGAAAGCGUGGGGAGCAAACAGG
Molecule: ribosomal RNA, 253 nt
Filed under: uncultured bacterium
Lineage: Bacteria
Description: partial 16S ribosomal RNA
Rfam family: Bacterial small subunit ribosomal RNA
Source: RNAcentral